AUGAAAGUGAACCAUCGUGAUAGGCUUCUGAAUAUGGGCGACAUCACUGCUCCGGCCGGCCGCUCAAAUGCCUCCUCAAUUAAUCUUAUAGAAUCGUGUGGGACAGUGGGAAUUAACUCCAAUGCUAUGAUGACAAUCCAGACAAAGUUUGCGGUGAAGAGAAACUGGGUGGGUGAUCCGUGCGCCCCUAUAUCUUUUGCAUGGUAUGGUUUGGAUUGCAGUUACAUUCCCGGUGGUCCCCCAAGAAUAACUGCCCUAAACUUGUCAUCCAGUGGGUUGGUUGGUGAAAUAGAUGCUUCCUUUGGCCAGCUAACAUUGCUCCAACGCUUGGGUCGUCUUGGAGCUUACCAGUGCGUUGGCCCAUACACGAACUGA
Molecule: ribosomal RNA, 375 nt
Filed under: Triticum aestivum (bread wheat)
Lineage: Eukaryota; Viridiplantae; Streptophyta; Magnoliopsida; Poales; Poaceae
Description: partial small subunit ribosomal RNA
Source: RNAcentral